GAUGAACGCUGGCGGCGUGCCUAAUACAUGCAAGUCAAGCGAACGGACGAGAAGCUUGCUUCUCUGAUGUUAGCGGCGGACGGGUGAGUAACACGUGGAUAACCUACCUAUAAGACUGGGAUAACUUCGGGAAACCGGAGCUAAUACCGGAUGAUAUUUUGAACCGCAUGGUUCAAAAGUGAAAGACGGUCUUGCUGUCACUUAUAGAUGGAUCCGCGCUGCAUUAGCUAGUUGGUAAGGUAACGGCUUACCAAGGCAACGAUGCAUAGCCGACCUGAGAGGGUGAUCGGCCACACUGGAACUGAGACACGGUCCAGACUCCUACGGGAGGCAGCAGUAGGGAAUCUUCCGCAAUGGGCGAAAGCCUGACGGAGCAACGCCGCGUGAGUGAUGAAGGUCUUCGGAUCGUAAAACUCUGUUAUUAGUGAAGAACAUAUGUGGAAGUAACUGUGCACAGCUUGACGGUACCUAAUCAGAAAGCCACGGCUAACUACGUG
This 497-nucleotide ribosomal RNA is filed under the name uncultured bacterium. RNAcentral describes it as "partial 16S ribosomal RNA". It matches the Rfam family "Bacterial small subunit ribosomal RNA", at positions 28 to 507 of the family's 1533-position model. The record is from RNAcentral.